CGUAGACAAGUUUGGGAGCCAUGGCACAGUGGCUAAGAGUAUAGAUGUUAGAGUUAGGCUACUUGGGGCUAAACUCAGGCUCCACUAUUUCUGAUCUGUGUGGCCUUGGGGAAGUUACUUAACCUUUCUGUGCUUCCUUCUGUAUAAAAUAAUAAUACAAUUGUUAUGAGGAUUCCAGGAGUUAAUAUAUGGGAAGUGCUUCAAACAGUGUCUCUCUGGCACACAGUAAGUAUGAUGUAAGACUUAGAUAUUGUUACUGUUUCUUGAAAGUGUACUGUGUGCAAAGCCCUGUGCUAGAGAGGAAAGAUCUGGUCCUUGCCCUCAGGGAGCUCAGAAUCCAGUGAGAAGAUAUCAAACUCUCCACAUCAUAGAAACGGUAAAAGAAAAAGAUAACAAACUCCAAUAUGCAAGAGAUGAAACACUGUUAUUCAUCCUAGACAUUUGUUCCUUACAAAUAUAAAUCAAUUUGCUCUGCUCUCUGAGAGAUUUGAGGAACCAUUCACAAUGCUGAGGAAAGGAACGUAAACCACUGGGAAACAGUGUCAGAGUUGGGAUUCCUAGGUUUGAAGACACCACCUAGUCUCCUCUUGUGUCUGGGCAUCUGGACUUCUGCUUCCCUGGCAUUAAACACAGAUCUGGGGUGGCAUCGGGGAAGGUGGGAGAGCCAGCUCUGAUAUUUAGGAUUGCCUAGUUACAAGGAAAUCUGAUCUUAGAGAUAUAACCAGGGUGGUAUUUAAAAAUCAAUCUCAAAAAGGGUGUUGGAGACCAAGUUUUCUGGGAUUUGGAAUAACGGAGAAAAAUGAACAUUGGUGCAUCCUUCAGAAAGAAUUUCUAAGCUUACCAGAAGAGGAUGAGACAUUCUUUCAGAUUUGGGUUCCACUGAGGUAUAGAGGAAGACUCAGCUGCUCAGUGCAAAGUACUAACUUGACUUUCAGAACUUGAACAUGAACAUUUUGUCAGCCCAGAUGUGGCCCAGUUAUUUUCAAUGAUGGAAACUUCAAGGCAAUCCCUCCAUAAACUGUUUAACAUUUAGUAAAGGAUGAGUGAAAAAGAUACCAGCAUCUGUGCUAUUUUUAACAAAGUAUCAGUGUUCUAAUGCCACAGCCAGAAAUCCUUCUUCCAUUGAUAAUAAACACUUCAAAGGCCAAAUACAAUUUCCCCUGUGCCUCCAUUUCAGUUUAAAAUUUUACUUCCCUCAACUCUGACACUUUCAGGACAUAACUUUUUUCUUCACACCAGAGUCCGUUCUAAUUCCUUCUUAAUUGUCCAUUCUAGGUUCCAUUUGGAAAGCGAUCUUAACGUGGCCCAGCCUUUAUUUCCAUUUGGUGCCAAUGAAGUGGAAUUUUAGCCAAAUCUCCACCCUAAAAGUUCACCUUGAGCCACUUGACUUUGCUGCUCCUCCAUUCCUUCUAUCUGUUGGAUAAAUCACUAUAAGGAGUAACGCUGUGUCCAUAUAGGACGAUCAUUUGAAAUUUAGGUAGCUAUCCUCAACUGCCUUCCUAUAGAAGUUAUCUAUUGACAUGCCCACAAAACACGUUAUCUUUUUAAAUUUUUGUUUGAAGAGGUCUUUAAGCAACCCCCUUUCAAGAGACAUUGUUGCCUUGUCCUGUUUCCGUGUUCUGUUUCGCUUUGGAACGGAUCUGUGGUUGACCCAUGUAAGGGCCUGCUUGGAAAGAAAGUGUGUGCAAAAUCACGUGUGGGGAAAGAGCAGUCGGCCCUUGGUGCCAGCAGGGGGCGCCCGCUCUCUUCUCAGUGGAACUUGAUUUGAAAAUCACCCCCUACCAAGCGUGGCACCUGGGCCUGUGCAAAUUCCGACCCCACAUGCCGCCGUGGGAAGGACUUGGAAAGAUCCUAACUGUCCUCUUUCAUGGAGCUUGUCGGUGACAGCUUCCUCUUAGUCAAGGACACUGUGUAGAUUAAAAAUAAAAAUGUCAUGUUAUUCCACGAUUAAUUUCUCCCUGUAAACACAGGGCCAGCACACCAGGCUCCUGGUGGCACUUUCACCGCAGACCGAUAAAGCCAUGUUUGGGGCAUGAGAGAAUAGCAAUGUGCUUUGUAUUCAGAUAAAGAUCUGCGACCUUCCCUGAGGGGUGUCUACAGAGGAGUGUGAAAUAGAAGCCAGUGGAAGCUUCUCUGCUAGAUCGCUCUACUGGAAAUGCAGCCCCCCACCCUCCCAUUCAGGGUGGGAUUAGGGUGAGGCGAAUGAGACUCUCACCUGGGCACAAAGUCUAAGGCAGGAGCACAUCUGUAAUCAAACAAUAACACAAAGUUUUAAAAAAUCAAAAUUAAUGCAAAAACAUCCAUGAUGAAGAAAACCUCGAAAGCUUAAAUAAAGACGUGAUUUGACGAGGCA
Long non-coding RNA from Cebus imitator (Panamanian white-faced capuchin), 2353 nucleotides. RefSeq lists it as uncharacterized. The record is from RefSeq and is a predicted model, not a curated record. The transcript is spliced from 2 exons. Lineage: Eukaryota; Metazoa; Chordata; Mammalia; Primates; Cebidae.